AGUGAACGCUGGCGGUAGGCCUAACACAUGCAAGUCGAACGGCAGCACAGUAAGAGCUUGCUCUUACGGGUGGCGAGUGGCGGACGGGUGAGGAAUACAUCAGAAUCUACUUUUUCGUGGGGGAUAACGUAGGGAAACUUACGCUAAUACCGCAUAUGACCUACGGGUGAAAGCAGUGGUUCUUCGGACCUUGCGCGAUUGAAUGAGCCGAUGUCGGAUUAGCUAGUUGGCGUGGUAAAGGCCCACCAAGGCAACGAUCCGUAGCCGGUCUGAGAGGAUGAUCAGCCACACUGGAACUGAGACACGGUCCAGACUCCUACGGGAGGCAGCAGUGGGGAAUAUUGCACAAUGGGCGAAAGCCUGACCCAGCAAUACCGCGUGGGUGAAGAAGGCCUUCGGGUUGUAAAGCCCUUUUGUUGGGAAAGAAAAGCAGCAGGUUAAUACCCCGCUGUUCUGACGGUACCCAAAGAAAAAGCACCGGCUAACUUCGUG
RNAcentral lists this ribosomal RNA (492 nucleotides) under uncultured bacterium. Its description in RNAcentral is "partial 16S ribosomal RNA". It matches the Rfam family "Bacterial small subunit ribosomal RNA", at positions 29 to 507 of the family's 1533-position model. The record is from RNAcentral.